AACGAACGCUGGCGGCGCGCCUAACACAUGCAAGUCGAACGAGAAUCCGGGGCAACCCGGUAGUAAAGUGGCAAAACGGGUGAGGAAUACAUGGGUAACCUACCCUUGAGAAGGGAAUAACCCGCCGAAAGGUGAGCUAAUACCCUAUACGCUAUCUUUUUUUCGAAAAGGAUAGGAAAGCCGGGUCGAGGACCUGGUACUCAAGGAGGGGCUCAUGUCCUAUCAGCUUGUUGGUGGGGUAACGGCCUACCAAGGCUACGACGGGUAGCUGGUCUGAGAGGAUGAUCAGCCACACUGGCACUGAGAUACGGGCCAGACUCCUACGGGAGGCAGCAGUGAGGAAUAUUGCGCAAUGGGCGAAAGCCUGACGCAGCGA
Molecule: ribosomal RNA, 376 nt
Filed under: uncultured bacterium
Lineage: Bacteria
Description: bacterial SSU rRNA
Rfam family: Bacterial small subunit ribosomal RNA
Source: RNAcentral